UAGGGAAUCUUCGGCAAUGGGGGGAACCCUGACCGAGCAACGCCGCGUGAGUGAAGAAGGUUUUCGGAUCGUAAAACUCUGUUGUUAAGGAAGAACGAGUGUGAGAAUGGAAAGUUCAUGCUGUGACGGUACUUAACCAGAAAGGGACGGCUAACUACGUGCCAGCAGCCGCGGUAAUACGUAGGUCCCGAGCGUUGUCCGGAUUUAUUGGGCGUAAAGCGAGCGCAGGCGGUUAGAAAAGUCUGAAGUGAAAGGCAGUGGCUCAACCAUUGUAGGCUUUGGAAACUGUUUAACUUGAGUGCAGAAGGGGAGAGUGGAAUUCCAUGUGUAGCGGUGAAAUGCGUAGAUAUAUGGAGGAACACCGGUGGCGAAAGCGGCUCUCUGGUCUGUAACUGACGCUGAGGCUCGAAAGCGUGGGGAGCGAACAGG
Molecule: ribosomal RNA, 429 nt
Filed under: Bacteroidota bacterium
Lineage: Bacteria; Pseudomonadati; Bacteroidota
Description: Bacteroidetes bacterium partial 16S ribosomal RNA
Rfam family: Bacterial small subunit ribosomal RNA
Source: RNAcentral